RNAcentral lists this long non-coding RNA (1645 nucleotides) under Leguminivora glycinivorella. RNAcentral's name for it is "uncharacterized LOC125237613". Lineage: Eukaryota; Metazoa; Arthropoda; Insecta; Lepidoptera; Tortricidae. The record is from RNAcentral.
GAUUGCAACCGAACCCUAAUAAAACUUAUUAUAUUAUAUUAUUAUGUAUUUUUUCCACUUUUUAUUUUUGCAUCUCAGCAAAAGCAAAUUUCAGCGGUUUCCAGUCCAGGACGGACGGGCGGAUGGACACACAGACAGACAAAUAUGGCGAAACUAUAAGGAUUCCUAGUUGACUACGAAAUACUAAAAUAAGCGCCAAAUUUGAAACAUGGGCGAAGGUUUAUUGUGCCAUAGAAAAUUUGAAUUAGGCGCCUUUUUUAAACGACAGUAUUUGCUUGGCCAUAAUUUUCUUUAAAUAAUUUUAUUAAUGUAAAUGUUGCAAAUAAUUGUGAAAAUAAAGUUAUCGAAUAAUAAUACUAAAGCCUGACCAGAAAUAUAUGACUAUUAUUGUCAAGAGGGCGCUGUUUAUUCUGAUGUAUGGGGUGACAUUGCAGUUUAGUAUGAAGAAUAGUUCUCAUAUUAUAUUUCUGGUCAAGCUCUCAGGCUUUAUCAAUCUAUGACUUUCGAGCCAAUUCAUCACUACUUUUAAAAAAUUUCGUAUCUCACGCUGUUCCUCAAAGUUAAAACGCAGUAAGUCUAUAUGCAUUCCAUACAUACUUACUACAAUUUUCUUUUCAUUGAUAGACGAAGAUAUGAGUUUUUUUUAAAGUAGUGACGAAUUAUUUAUGUCUCCUGAUUUUUAGGACGUGUCUUCUGAUUUUAUUCAAAUUGGACCUGGCAACACUGAAAUAAUGUCAGAAUCUUUUCUUUGACAUUAUUUACAAUUUAUAUUAUUAUACAUAAUUGGUGUUUUCACUAUUCUUAAGCUAAAAAAAAAACACCUGUUUGUCCUCCAAAGAAUACCUUAUUGGAUUCACAGGAUGAUUGAGGAUUUGAGGGAAGCAUGUUAAGACUGUGACAAUAUGGUCUUAAGGCAGCCGGCCUCAUUGAGAACAAGAAAAUACCCUGCUUUAUGUAGCGGUUGUUAUUUGUUAAUAUGACAUGUCUCGGCAGUGUAGUGACCCUGUGCUUAAUUAAGGCUUCAGGUUCAAAUCAUGGUAAACCAAAAUGAAAGCGGCCGGUUGAAAAAGUAGCAGAGUCGAAAAUGGAAAUUAAUGAGCUGCAGAAGUAAAUUUUAGAAGAAUAAUUCUCUUCUUCUUUGUUGUAUCCUUGUGGCUGAGGGACAUGACGAAUGAGGCCAUUCUUUACCAGUGUUCUUCACGCCACUCAAUCCUGGGCCCGGUGCAUGCUAGCCUGCAGUGGUCUUUGUCAGAGACGUUAUUGUGUCUGCCCAAUGUGUGCCCAUGCUGCCACUUCUUCACUUCCUUGCCGUGUCCUGUGAUUAUGGGAAGAAUAAUAUGCAAAUAAAAACCAACAAUGGGCCAUCGAAGAACAGGAGAGGGCAUGUGGGCCUUAGAGAAAGAGUUGUUAAUGUGAAGACUAAAUAAAUUCAACAAAUAAAAUCUCAACUAUAAUACUGUCUUUGGUACACCCGCUACCAUCGCGUCAAAUAGUGAAAGUGCAGUUCAGUGUAAGCAAAGACAGUGUACAAGAUAUACCACUCACCUAUGGCAUUAGUGUUACUAGACCACAUUAAUACAUAAAGACUAUUUUUCUAAACUUGUGUAUAGCUCUGUGUUGUCUUAAUAAAUCCUAUUGGAAACAC